This is a long non-coding RNA of Monodelphis domestica (gray short-tailed opossum), 329 nucleotides long. RefSeq lists it as uncharacterized. Lineage: Eukaryota; Metazoa; Chordata; Mammalia; Didelphimorphia; Didelphidae. The record is from RefSeq and is a predicted model, not a curated record.
AACAGAGAUUAAAGUGAGGAGAGAGCUUUCCUGUAGGUGGCUGGAGACAGUGGAAUGAUUUGUAGCCGGAAAGAAAUGUGCCAACGGAGCUGGCAUUUUUUAGCCAAAGAGAGCUGAUUGAUUCCCAGUGUCCAACAGGAGGCUCUGAAAGAUCCAUCCUACUCAUGGUCCCCAUCAUCUUCCUCCUGUGUCUUCUUGAAGCAGAUUCACUACAAACUAUAGCCACCAUCCCCAAAUACAGCCAAGUGUGGCUAUCCUUGUAACAGCUCAGAAUCAUUUCUACUAGGUAUGGAUUAGCUUCACUGGAAAAAAAGUUUCAACUGAGCAGA